Molecule: ribosomal RNA, 390 nt
Filed under: uncultured bacterium
Lineage: Bacteria
Description: bacterial SSU rRNA
Rfam family: Bacterial small subunit ribosomal RNA
Source: RNAcentral
CGAAAACCGUGGAAACACGGUCCUCCCGCAAGGGACGCUAGUACAGGUGGUGCAUGGCUGUCGUCAGCUCGUGUCGUGAGAUGUUGGGUUAAGUCCCGCAACGAGCGCAACCCUUACCCUUAGUGUUUUCCCGAAAGGAUUACCCUCUAAGGGGACUGCCCCGGACAACGGGGAGGAAAGGUGGGGGAUGACGUCAAGUCCGCAUGCUCCUUACGUCUAGGGCUACACACGUCCUACAAUGGGGUCGACAGUGGGAUGCAAAGCCGCGAGGUGGAGCCAAUCCCCAAACGGCCUCUCAGUUCGGAUAGUAGUCUGCAACUCGACUACUUGAAGUCGGAAUCGCUAGUAAUGGCGGAUCAGCAUGCCGCCGUGAAUACGUUCCCGGGUCUU